UGGGGAAUAUUGGACAAUGGGCGAAAGCCUGAUCCAGCCAUGCCGCGUGUGUGAAGAAGGUCUUCGGAUUGUAAAGCACUUUAAGUUGGGAGGAAGGGCAGUAAGUUAAUACCUUGCUGUUUUGACGUUACCAACAGAAUAAGCACCGGCUAACUUCGUGCCAGCAGCCGCGGUAAUACGAAGGGUGCAAGCGUUAAUCGGAAUUACUGGGCGUAAAGCGCGCGUAGGUGGUUUUGUAAGUUGGAAGUGAAAUCCCCGGGCUCAACCUGGGAACUGCCUCCAAAACUGCAUGACUAGAGUACGGUAGAGGGUAGUGGAAUUUCCUGUGUAGCGGUGAAAUGCGUAGAUAUAGGAAGGAACACCAGUGGCGAAGGCGACCACCUGGACUGAUACUGACACUCAUGUGCAAAAGCGUGGGGAGCAAACAGGAUUAUAUACCCUGGUAGUCCACGCCCUAAACGAUGUCAACUAGCCGUUGGGUACCUUGAGUACCUUUAGUGGCGCACCUAACGCAUUAAGUUGACCGCCUGGGGAGAACGGCCGCAAGGUUA
RNAcentral lists this ribosomal RNA (551 nucleotides) under uncultured Pseudomonadota bacterium. Its description in RNAcentral is "bacterial SSU rRNA". It matches the Rfam family "Bacterial small subunit ribosomal RNA", at positions 355 to 896 of the family's 1533-position model. Lineage: Bacteria; Pseudomonadati; Pseudomonadota. The record is from RNAcentral.